GACUAUCACGAGAACAACGUUUCACAAAGACUAUUUUCACACUACAAAACCAAAAAAAAGAAGAUCGGAGAGCAGAGGCGAAGGGGUAAGGUUUUUUCAAGUGAUAGUAAGUAAAAUUAAUAUUUAAAUAUUAUAUAAUAGCUGAAAUUUUCACUGUAUUUUAAAAAGUUUUUCAAAUACUAUAUCUAUGUAUUUUUUUUUCUUUGUUUUUUCCCCAUAUUUCACUAACUAUAAUUAUGUGCGAGCAACA
RNAcentral lists this long non-coding RNA (250 nucleotides) under Prunus persica (peach). RNAcentral's name for it is "long non-coding RNA (PPER_LNC001640)". Lineage: Eukaryota; Viridiplantae; Streptophyta; Magnoliopsida; Rosales; Rosaceae. The record is from RNAcentral.